GCGGUGAGCAUGUGGUUUAAUUCGAACGUCAACGACGAAGAACCUUACCUGGGUUUGACAUCCCGAUCGUAUCUUGUGGAAACACGAGAGUCAGUUCGGCUGGAUCGGAGACAGGUGCUGCAUGGCUGUCGUCAGCUCGUGUCGUGAGAUGUUGAGUUAAGUCCCGCAACGAGCGCAACCCUUGUCCUUAGUUGCCAUCAUUCAGUUGGGCACUCUAAAGAGACUGCCGGUGUUAAACCGGAGGAAGGUGGGGAUGACGUCAAGUCCUCAUGGCCCUUAUGUCCAGGGCUACACACGUGCUACAAUGGCCGGUACAAAGGGCAGCAAAGCCGCGAGGUGGAGCCAAUCCCAUAAAGCCGGUCUCAGUUCGGAUUGGAGUCUGCAACUCGACUCCAUGAAGUUGGAAUCGCUAGUAAUCGCGGAUCAGCACGCCCGCGGUCCGAAUACGUUCCCGGGCCUU
Molecule: ribosomal RNA, 460 nt
Filed under: uncultured Desulfuromonas sp.
Lineage: Bacteria; Pseudomonadati; Thermodesulfobacteriota; Desulfuromonadia; Desulfuromonadales; Desulfuromonadaceae
Description: bacterial SSU rRNA
Rfam family: Bacterial small subunit ribosomal RNA
Source: RNAcentral